AAUGGGGGAAACCCUGAUCUAGCCAUGCCGCGUGAGCGAUGAAGGCCUUAGGGUUGUAAAGCUCUUUCAGCUGGGAAGAUAAUGACGGUACCAGCAGAAGAAGCCCCGGCUAACUCCGUGCCAGCAGCCGCGGUAAUACGGAGGGGGCUAGCGUUGUUCGGAAUUACUGGGCGUAAAGCGCACGUAGGCGGAUUAGUCAGUCAGAGGUGAAAUCCCAGGGCUCAACCCUGGAACUGCCUUUGAUACUGCUAGUCUUGAGGUCGAGAGAGGUGAGUGGAAUUCCGAGUGUAGAGGUGAAAUUCGUAGAUAUUCGGAGGAACACCAGUGGCGAAGGCGGCUCACUGGCUCGAUACUGACGCUGAGGUGCGAAAGCGUGGGGAGCAAA
This 385-nucleotide ribosomal RNA is filed under the name uncultured bacterium. RNAcentral describes it as "bacterial SSU rRNA". It matches the Rfam family "Bacterial small subunit ribosomal RNA", at positions 370 to 772 of the family's 1533-position model. The record is from RNAcentral.